RNAcentral lists this transfer RNA (83 nucleotides) under Myxococcales bacterium. RNAcentral's name for it is "tRNA-Tyr". It matches the Rfam family "tRNA". From Rfam's summary of the family: Transfer RNA (tRNA) molecules are approximately 80 nucleotides in length. Their secondary structure includes four short double-helical elements and three loops (D, anti-codon, and T loops). Lineage: Bacteria; Pseudomonadati; Myxococcota; Myxococcia; Myxococcales. RNAcentral also lists the same sequence under 1 other name. The record is from RNAcentral.
GGAAGAAUGCCCGAGCGGCCAAAGGGAGCAGACUGUAAAUCUGCCGGCUUAUGCCUUCGGUGGUUCGAAUCCACCUUCUUCCA